CCCGCCUGCCCAGUGAACACAUCUUCAACGGCCGCGGUAUUCUAACCGUGCAAAGGUAGCGUAAUCACUUGUCUUCUAAAUAAAGACUAGUAUGAACGGCUAAAUGAGGGCAAAACUGUCUCUUAUAACUAAUCAGUGAAACUGAUCUUCCAGUACAAAAGCUGGAAUUAAAACAUAAGACGAGAAGACCCCGUGGAGCUUAAAAUAAACAACUA
This 215-nucleotide ribosomal RNA is filed under the name Trachylepis spilogaster (Kalahari tree skink). RNAcentral describes it as "partial 16S ribosomal RNA". It matches the Rfam family "Bacterial large subunit ribosomal RNA", at positions 1854 to 2116 of the family's 2925-position model. The record is from RNAcentral. Lineage: Eukaryota; Metazoa; Chordata; Lepidosauria; Squamata; Scincidae.